This 216-nucleotide unclassified non-coding RNA is filed under the name Hevea brasiliensis (rubber tree). The record is from RNAcentral. Lineage: Eukaryota; Viridiplantae; Streptophyta; Magnoliopsida; Malpighiales; Euphorbiaceae.
GGAUUUUGUAUCUUGUCCUUGAUGAUGAAUUGUGGUUUAUGAUGCUUGGGUUCUUUCAAUUUAAUAAUUAAAUCACAUCAAUAAGGUUUUCAAAACAUAAUGCAUGUUGUGGUUUUUGUCUUUUAAAUGGAAGCUGAUUUGAUCAUAUGGAGAUACUGAGAUGCAAGUCUAACUGUUUUUUGAUCAAUUCAAUCAUCUACACAUAUCUUGAUCUUU